CCUACGGGUGGCAGCAGUGAGGAAUAUUGGUCAAUGGACGAGAGUCUGAACCAGCCAAGUAGCGUGAAGGAUGACUGCCCUAUGGGUUGUAAACUUCUUUUAUAUGGGAAUAAAAUGUUCCACGUGUGGGAUUUUGUAUGUACCAUAUGAAUAAGGAUCGGCUAACUCCGUGCCAGCAGCCGCGGUAAUACGGAGGAUCCGAGCGUUAUCCGGAUUUAUUGGGUUUAAAGGGAGCGUAGGUGGAUUGUUAAGUCAGUUGUGAAAGUUUGCGGCUCAACCGUAAAAUCGCAGUUGAAACUGGCAGUCUUGAGUACAGUAGAGGUGGGCGGAAUUCGUUGUGUAGCGGUGAAAUGCUUAGAUAUCACGAAGAACUCCGAUUGCGAAGGCAGUUCACUGGACUGCAACUGACACUGAGGCUCGAAAGUGUGGGUAUCAAACAGGAUUAGAUACCCCUGUAGUC
RNAcentral lists this ribosomal RNA (460 nucleotides) under uncultured bacterium. RNAcentral describes it as "partial 16S ribosomal RNA". It matches the Rfam family "Bacterial small subunit ribosomal RNA", at positions 338 to 795 of the family's 1533-position model. The record is from RNAcentral.